Molecule: ribosomal RNA, 1407 nt
Filed under: uncultured bacterium
Lineage: Bacteria
Description: bacterial SSU rRNA
Rfam family: Bacterial small subunit ribosomal RNA
Source: RNAcentral
AGAGUUUGAUCCUGGCUCAGGAUGAACGCUAGCGACAGGCUUAACACAUGCAAGUCGAGGGGCAGCGGUGGUGAAGGCUUGCCUUUACCAGCCGGCGACCGGCGCACGGGUGAGUAACACGUAUGCAACCUGCCUGCCACAGCCGGAUAAUCGGGAGAAAUUCCGUCUAAUACGGCAUAAUGCAUCGACGGGACAUCCUGUUGGUGCCAAAGGUUGAUUCCGGUGGCGGAUGGGCAUGCGUCGCAUUAGUUAGUUGGCGGUGUAACGGACCACCAAGACGACGAUGCGUAGGGGUUCUGAGAGGAAGGUCCCCCACACUGGUACUGAGACACGGACCAGACUCCUACGGGAGGCAGCAGUGAGGAAUAUUGGUCAAUGGGCGGGAGCCUGAACCAGCCAAGUCGCGUGAGGGAUGACGGCCCUAUGGGUUGUAAACCUCUUUUGCCGGGGAGCAAAGUGCCGCACGUGUGCGGUUUGGAGAGUACCCGGAGAAAAAGCAUCGGCUAACUCCGUGCCAGCAGCCGCGGUAAUACGGAGGAUGCGAGCGUUAUCCGGAUUUAUUGGGUUUAAAGGGUGCGUAGGCGGACGCUUAAGUCAGCGGUAAAAUUGCGGGGCUCAACCUCGUCGAGCCGUUGAAACUGGGUGCCUUGAGUGGGCGAGAAGUACGCGGAAUGCGUGGUGUAGCGGUGAAAUGCAUAGAUAUCACGCAGAACUCCGAUUGCGAAGGCAGCGUACCGGCGCCCAACUGACGCUGAAGCACGAAGGCGUGGGUAUCGAACAGGAUUAGAUACCCUGGUAGUCCACGCAGUAAACGAUGAAUGCUAGUUGUCCGGGGCGAUUGAGUUCUGGGUGACACAGCGAAAGCGUUAAGCAUUCCACCUGGGGAGUACGCCGGCAACGGUGAAACUCAAAGGAAUUGACGGGGGCCCGCACAAGCGGAGGAACAUGUGGUUUAAUUCGAUGAUACGCGAGGAACCUUACCCGGGCCCAAACGCAGGAGGGAUGUUUUUGAAAGGAGGCAGCCAGCAAUGGUCUCCUGCGAGGUGCUGCAUGGUUGUCGUCAGCUCGUGCCGUGAGGUGUCGGCUUAAGUGCCAUAACGAGCGCAACCCCUACCUACAGUUGCCAUCGCGUGAUGGCGGGCACUCUGUGGGGACUGCCUGCGCAAGCAGUGAGGAAGGCGGGGAUGACGUCAAAUCAGCACGGCCCUUACGUCCGGGGCGACACACGUGUUACAAUGGCAGGUACAGCGGGAAGCCACCCGGCGACGGGGCGCGGAACCCGAAAACCUGUCUCAGUUCGGAUUGGAGUCUGCAACCCGACUCCAUGAAGCUGGAUUCGCUAGUAAUCGCGCAUCAGCCACAGCGCGGUGAAUACGAUCCCGGGCCUUGUACUCACCGCCCGUCAAG